Molecule: long non-coding RNA, 24955 nt
Filed under: Populus tremula
Lineage: Eukaryota; Viridiplantae; Streptophyta; Magnoliopsida; Malpighiales; Salicaceae
Description: long non-coding RNA (PTRE_LNC000995)
Source: RNAcentral
GCUCAGCAUGCCGGGCAUUGCGAACUGCAUAACCUGCCUCACCGCCUACCUCUACCGGGACUCCUCUCUGUUUCACCUUUUUCUUUCCCAUGAAGAUGGUAGAAAGUAAUAUAGGUAUGAGGAUAGCAGCAGCCACAACGCCAUAUGUUCCAUAGCCUUUCCCAACUGACGAGUAAUCAUUAGAGUCCAAUUUAUCCAGAACAGGUGUGCUCGGAAAACUUCCCUCGGAAUCAGCCAUUUUCAAUGCUUCUUAUAUGAUGGUUUAAAGAAUCACCUGGGAUGGAUGACAAGAAUUAGAAGCACCAUCAUCUCCCAUCUUUCAAAAAUGAGAAACAAACACCAGAGCUACAAGGAUUUGUACAAAAUAUAAUACCGUUUAAAAUAAAGGAGAGACAGCACAGUGGAUCUAAGGAUGUUCCUUGGUGUAUAAAACUUGCAUUAAGGUAAAGAACAUGCAGCCAUACACUGCAACCUCAAAACCAAGUUCCUUAAUGAUCAGGAACCAAAGUAAACAUUAGUUGUUUCACUGUAAAUUAACCAACAGUCAUAGGUCACAUAACUUUGAAAAAGAAUCGCAAUUUACUCAAAUUUAAGAAAGGAACUGCAAAAGAAAAAAGGAUUAAAAAAAAGAAGCAAGCAAGAUGGGAUCAUAGAUCAUAGAAUAGAAUAUAAAGAAGGCAGCAAGGAUAUAAAGCUUGUUAACAUCAAAGCACUGCUGAAUCCAAAAGUACUACUCUAAACUCAAUAAAAAGAAAGAGAACACCACUACUACUCUGCUGUGUUUCUAUAGCUUUUACCUCUGGAAUAUUAUAGGAACCGAAGGAAAAAGAAAGUAAGCAGUCUUGGACUUUUACCCUGUCUCCCACUCUCACCUUUUUCUUUCUCUUUAUGUUCCUCCUCUUCCUCCUCCCCCCAAUAUAUACACUGUUCUUUUCUCUUUGCUUUGGCACCACUUCUGAUCGUUACUUUAAGUAGUUGAACUGGUAGUACAACAAGUGUAUUUUCUCUUUGAAUUUUUUUGAGUUUCAAUUUUAAAUUCAUUUAUAAAAAAUUGUUCUCUCAAAAUACUCGAAUAUAUAUAUUCUUAAAAAAAAAAAUCUUAACUGAUCUCGUAACGUAAAAUAAAAGAAAGCACUGCUACUAAAAAAAUAAAACAUUGGGAAUUGUAUGAUAAUUUAAAAUUCCACUUGGCAUUCCAGAAGGGAGAGUGGCGUGCUAACCAAGCACAAUCCCUUUGCCAUGUAGACACGUGUCUCGUGGGUGACGUCGCUAUUAUUAUUAUUAUUUGUAUUAUUUUACUUAAUCAUUAGUGGCGGUAACAAAGAUAGAAGAAUGGAGCGGGGGAGGGAGGCGCACACCUCGACUGGAGAUCCCGGAGACCGUCUCCGAUCCAAUCAAGUAAUGAGAAAAACACUUAGGGUUUGGAAGGUUAUACUAGUUGAUGGGUGAUGGCUAAAACAGAAGAGAAAAGAAGAUGCUCCGUCAUGAUAAGCCUAGAGGCAGCCAUUUAUGACCUCUGGAGCUGAGUUUUCUAGAAGGUUUAAAACCACAGGCUGCAAAUGUAAUGCUCCAUCUAGAAGACUAGCCAGCACUCGGUAUUUUGGCAAUGUUCACACUGGCCACCUGAGGCAGAAUUAAGCAAACCAUUAGCUCAGGAUCUCGGACAUGCAAAGCAAAUCGAGCACAGAAGUUGCUCAGUUUUCAUCACACAAUCCAUAAUAACCUGAAACAGGUGUUCCUGUUUUUCUACGAUUUUAUUUGCAGUGCUUUGCCCUCGAGCAAAGCCAUGUUAGUACAAUCAGAUACAUUGAGCAUCAUAAUCGUCACAUUGGGCAUCAUACAAGGAGGGUGUUUCAUGUAAUUGUUGGCUGUGAGACACUAUGAAUUGCGUUUAACACUUUCUUCCACACGAGUGAGGGCAUCUGUGAGCACAUCUAUUGUCCAGUCCUUCAAAUCGUCCUGCAGAUAACAAGAGAAAAAUCAUUGAACACGACAAUUAGCAUCCGCAUGGAAGUACCUUAGAAGGGAAACACGUUUUGUUUGCUAUUUUGCAAAAUAGAUGAGAAAGCUGUUUGAGGAAAUUGGAAAGCAUUUCCCAAGUAUCAGAUUAGCAGAUUACAACAAUUUACUUGACCGAUUGUAUCAUGAAUGCGAAAACCAUAAUUUUCAGCUUGGUAUGCAAGAACAAAUAGAGGAUCAUCCAGGGUAACAACACAGAUGAAUGGCUGAGACUCUGAAACAGAGAAACUUCAAAACAAACCAUGUUAUAGAAAACAGUCAAAACAAUCAACUAUCACCGUAGGAUAUUCACUUCUAGGGUAAGAAGCAAUGGCUACAUAAAUGAUGUUCUUUACUGUUUAAUGUUAAUGGCAACUGUGAGCACAAUAAUUAGCACCAGAUUGCUGGCUUGCUACUGAUAAAUAACAAGUUGCAGCAACAUUAAAAUCAAGGCAUAUGCAACUAAUAAUUCCUAAUGCUUUGCGUUUGAGGCCAGGCAAUUCUUUUUCUUUUCUUUUUUUCUUUUAGGGAACCAGACCAUGCAUUUGUUAAAAACACCUGAAAAUAACAUUACUAGAUGUUAAGCAAGCCGGGAGCUGCAUUGCGUCUGUUGAGCAUCAUGUCCACCACCUCAUCAACUUAGAUUGAGAGUGACUUGACAAACGAAAAGAAUCAAAUUUUGUAAUAGCAUACUGUUAUGCAAUGUCAACAUGAGAUUCACUGAGAAAGCAUUUUCAUGAUAAUAUUCAUUAUCGAUUGACUGUUUCCUAAUAUCAGGAGAAAAAGGAUGCAAAACUAAGCAAAAAUGUACAAAGAUGUGCAGCUAGAUAUCCAAACAAACCAAACUGUGGUAGUCUCCAUAACCACAGUUGGCAUCAUCACAUUCACAACCUAGCACGUGCAGUAUCCCUGACAGUCUGGCAACCCCUAAGCAACAUAUGUCCCUAAUAUUUCGGAUACCACAUAUGAUUGGUGAUGGCAUACUCUAUGGAAAUCACAAUUUAACAAACUAAAAGGUAAAAACAAUUGACAGAAUGCAAGUUAAUUACAGCAAGAUGCAAGAAAAUAAGCUUUGUAGCAUAAGUAUGCAUCUUCCUACAGUCCCACCACUACAUGUUGGACAUCCUCUUAUAAAAGCUGCAUUGCUGUUCAUAGCAUCAAGGACAAAAAAAUCAGGCAGAUGUAACAUCCUUUAGCUAAACAAUGGGCGACAGCUCACAAUUAUACCAUAACCACGUCUUAUAGAUUAGCUUGUUAAGGGGUAAAAGAUGUGAACAAAUGCACUCCCUGUCUUUACAGUCAUCCCUAUGAUGGACAUGAGUUUAUCAGCCAGACUACAUAAUGAAGUAGUAACGAAAAGAACAGGAUGCCUCACCGUGCGCACCGGUUCUUCAGUUCUUAUGCGUGCAUUAGGACGAGCAAGCUUGGAUUCAAAAGGAGUCCUAGGCCUCACUUCUCUAAACUCCUCCCAUUCCUCGCGAGUAAGCAUCCUAACUGUGCCUUGACCAACUGGGGCAUUCUUAAUUUUGCGCUCUAUCAUUUCUUGCGAGUGUGAAUCAUCAUACUUGAGUUCAAUUACCAGACAACAAAAUCAAUCCAUUUAAUUCAGUAAUCAACAAAAUCCAAAACCAAUCAAAAUCGGAAUGUCACGACAUACCAUCAUGAGUAGCUUUGCAAAGAGUGCAGUUCCAACAACAGUGAGAAUCAUGGGCAUAGUUGCAGUGUCAAGAAAUGACAUGGAUUCUGGAACCUGGACAAAAAUGUCGUCUUUUUUUUUAGACUUCUUCUUUGACCUCCUUAUUUUCUCCAAUUCCGUUACUCUUCUCUUCAAUGUUUCCGUGGCACCAUCACGGGACACUGUUGUAUGAAAGUGUCUCCCACGUGACAAAACUGCUUUCCCAAACCCUAAACCAAUACCACCAUACAUGACUUUUCAAGACCAAUCACGCAAUUGAUUCGGCCCCAAUUGAAUCGGAGAGAGAGAGAGAGAGAGAAGGAUCUUGCAUCAUUUACAGACCUCCAUUGCAGUGAGCUGGAGAUUUUCUUAGGGUUUAAAUGAUCAAGGAAAGUGAGAUGUAAGAGAAGGAGAAAGGUCUGAUUUUUGAAGUAUUUGGUGGGCUGUAUACUUAUUUCACUGCCUUUCGAGCCCAACCCAUUAACUCAAUCAUGACUCAGCCUGUCGUGCUAAAAAAACAAUUUCUAGCGCUAUAAAAUUUAAAAAAUAAAUUUAUUUAAAAUUAAUAAUUUUUUUAUUUUUAAAUUAUUUUAAUACAUUGAUGUUAAAAAUAUAUAUAAAAAAAAUAUGUGUUAUAUACAUCAUUUUCUUUUUACUUUGAUAAGUCUUUUAAUUUAAAUUUUUUUUUUAAUUUUAUUAUUCAAUAUUAAAUUAGUCUUAAUUAAACUUGGAUGUACAAUUUUAUGAGUUGUAAAUCUGAAAUAUUAAUCAAGGUUUAGAAAAUUUUUUAUUCUUAAAUUAAUCAAGGUUACUAUUAUCUUUUUACAUCUUCUUUGCAAAGUUAAAUUACUUCAAUACACUUAAAAGCAAAACAAUACUUAACUUAGGUCUCUGGGUUUUUUCCUUAAAUUUCACUCUUAAAACUUGAUUUUAGAGGGUUAGCAGUGAUUUUAAAGGCAAUAUAAUCUUUUAAUAAUAUCAAUAAUAAUCAUUAAAAACAAUUUUAUUAUUUUUGGUUCCAUCCUUUGAUGUUGGAUUGGUUGGAAAUAGACUUUAUGAGUGAUUUUUUUUGUAUUUUGUAUAUGAUUACCAUGGUUUUAAGCAAAUGUUUAUCUUAAUGUUGAUGCUUGAAAUUACGAGUAUCUAUUAUUUUUUCUGCUACCUUUUCCCCUCUUAUUAUCUUUUUUAAUGAAUUGUUAUUGUGUAUCUUAGUUUUUAUUUUUUGAAGUUUUUUUUGGUUUAUUGUUAUCUGUUUUGGGAUUCAUUAUCAAUUAUAAUUGAUAUUUUAUUAUUGAUUUUGAAGAAAUUUGAUUUUUUGAUUAUGUCAAGUCAAAAACUACUAGCUAAAAACAUCUUUUUUUAAAAAUUUCAUUUAUUUUGUUGGUUAUAUCUUUAUUGUCACAAGAGGUUUGGUGUUAAAAAGACUUUGUUUCUUUGAGAUUAUUUUUUGGUGGUUAUUAAUGCUACCAAUGAGAGCCUUUCUAGUAUUUGAAUAGAAAAUAUAAAAAAUUGAUUAUGAUUUGUCAAUGGUUAAAGAAAGUAUUUAAAGGAAUAUAAAAAUGAUUAUAUUAGGGAUUCAAAUGAGAAUGUGCUGAAUUAAUAUCAUAUCAAUCAUCAUGGUUGUUAUAACCCUGACAAGAUUAAAAAAAGAAAUAUUUAUGUUGUUAUAUAACUUCCUUGUGGUGUCUUUCAGAACUUUUUUUGUAACAACCCUAAUAUUUGUAUUCAAAACAGAUAGUAAAGACAUGAUAAUUCAAUUAAGAUGAGGGAUUUUUUUUCUGUAAUCAAUAAAAAAUUCGGUAGAGUUUCCUCUAUAUUAUUAGGUAUCAAGUUAUCGACUCUUCUUCCACAAUCCCCAUUAACAAAUCUCUUACUUGUCCUAUCAUCCAGUACAUCAUCCUCUCAUUACAUCACAACUUCUCAAUAAUUAAAUUCACAUAUGUCUAAACAAUUCAAUAUCCCAUAUUUACAUGGAUGCAAUCUAAAGAAUUAUUCUAAAAACGGUAACUGAAGUACAUUACAUAAUUCAAAGAUUUAUAAAUAAGGGUCGUUAAUGAAAUUAUAAUCGAAAUAAGUUCAUAAUUAAAGAAGAAAUUCAUAAUAUAGAUUAUACUACACAAAGAGCAUUUGAUAAAUUGUAGACGCAUUAUAUUACAUAACAAAAGGAUAAAUUCAUUCAUUACAACAUGAUAUUCAACAAAAUAUAAGGAACUAAUCUACUGUUCAGUCUUGUAGGGGGAUGUACCUGAAAAUAGAUUUAAUACAAUAAUUCAAUUAGACAAAUAAAAAUAAAAAGACAUUUAUAAAAUUAUUUCUACUUUCUUUCUUUUUCUUUUUCUUUUUAAAAUUUAGUCAAAAGAUCAUUAAAUUAACUUGCUCAUCUAGUAUUAUUAUAUAUCAAUUAAAUUUCAGAAUAAUCUACCAGUCCAUUCAACAAGCACGGUUGUCAUCAGUCCAAAAACUAAUUCAACAUUUCACCCAUUCAUCAAGGUACAAAUCCCAUUAACCAGGGAAUUAAUUAUUCAUCUCGCCCAUUUUCCAGGGCACUAAUUCCAUUAAAUCAGGAAUUAGUUCAACAACUUACCCAUUCACUAGGGUAUUAAUCCCAUUAUCCAGGGAUUCAAUUUCUUACAACGCCCAUUCACCAGGGCACUAAUCCCAUUCAUUCAGGAAUUAAUUCAUCAUAUCGCAUAUCUUAUUUUCUCAAGUAAACAACAUAAUAAUUUCUAAUAUAUCAACCACAAUCAAUCCGAUAAAAAAAAUACAUAUUGUCUAAUGUUAAAUUCAGGUAUCGUGUAAUUACCUGACGACUGAGCUCGAGCCGUAGUUCCCUGCUGUGGUGUCGGCCUGGCAGCCUCUCCUGAAUUGACAUGUAUAUCACAUCAUUAAUCUACUUUCCAUAUCGAAACACUCAAUAAAUAAAAUCCUUCCAAUUAUCCUUUCAUUUGCCAAAAUAAAAUUUAGAGAGAACAUGAAAAACUUCCUUCUUCUUUUUUUGUAAAUUUCCUUCAUAUUCUUUCAAUUUCCACAUUGUAACACAUAACAUUUCAUCAUUCAAAACAAUAUAUAUAUUCUUUAAAUGUAUUUAUUUAAAUUUAUUUUACCAAAAUUUAAAUUAAAGGUAAACAUAAAAAAAAAAAAAUUCAUGAUCCAUUCUCUCUUUAACAUUAAUAUCAUCUCUUUCCUACACAAUCUCAUCAUCUUAUUCAAAUUCCUAAAUUUUUAUUCUUCUUAUUAUUAUUUUUCCAAAAAAAAUCUCUUUUUCAAGAACACCUAAAAAUUUGCUUCAAUUUCCAUAAUUUCCUACUUUCUCUCCUCACUUCAACAAUCUUAACACAAUUUCACAAUCAAUUAUAAUUUCCCCAAAAAUUUAUCAUGAACCCUAAUUCUUUAUUUCACAAAGUUCAAUCAAUUUAAAGUAUUUAUUCAUCAAGAAUCUUAUUUAAAAGUGUAAGGGCACUUUACCAAAUAAUAGCCAAAGCUUUAACACUUUGGUAUUGAAACUUUUCCUUGCUUGAAUUAUUUUUACUCCUCUUUUGGCCAAAUGCUUCUUCUUCCUCUUUGAAAGGUAAGUUUGAUUUUAUUUUUCUUUCUCCUCACACACACACACUUGCACUCACACACACACACACACACACACACACACACAAGUGUGUGCAGAAGAAAACAUUAGCCCACACACAUAUAUAUAUACAGUUUUUUUUUUUUUAAUACCAUCCAUGUCCCUAAAUUUUUUUUCUUUCCUUCCGUGCACAUACUUUAGUCCACAUUAUUUCUUUCACUUUUUUUUUUAUGCCUUCUAUAUCCCUCAAUAGUAACUUUUAAGAUUUUGGGUAAAAUUUCUCGAAUCCUGAUACCUGUUUAUACCAAAUCUUGCCCGUGUUAUAUUGAAUUUCACUAAGUUACUCGUUGGUACUUUUAGUUUCAUGAAAUUCACUUCUAAAAAAAAUCUCAUUAACAUUUUCGUGUAUAUUUAUUUUUUUAUGUAUAUUAACACUUGAACAAAACAUUUUAAUUCAAAUUCUCAAAUACAUCAUCAUUCUUAUAAUUUAAUUUAUCCAUUUUCCUUAUUUUUUUUUUAUAAUCCUGACUUUUCUUAAUAUCAAUAAUAUUAUCUAGGGUUUUACAUCCUCCCCUCCUUAUAUAAAUUUCGUCCUCAAAAUUAAAUUCUUACCAGUAUUUAUGAAUAACUCAGGAUACUUCCUUCUCAUUUCGGACUCUCUUUCCCACGUUACUUCUUCGAUUUGCAAACUUCUCCAUAACACCUUAAUCAUAGGAAUUUUUUUAUUUCUCAGUUCUUUUUCACUAUAAUCCAGCACCUUCACUGGUUUCACUUCCAGAGUCAAGUCUUCUGCAAUCUCCAAAGGAACUUGUGGUAGGACUCGAGAUGGAUCUACUUCAGCCUUUCUUAACAUCGAAACAUGGAAUACAUCAUGGAUCUUAUUUAGAUGUGAGGGCAAGGCCAAUCUGUAAGCCACCGAUCCAAUCCUUUCAAGGACUUCAUAGGGACCAAUAUACCUCGGGCCAAUUUCCCUUUCAUUUCAAAUCUUAACAUGUGUUUCCAGGGAGCGACCUUCAAGUAUACUCGAUCACCCACAUUAAACUCAAGAGGUCUUCUUCGAACAUCUGCAUAGCUCUUUUGUCUAUCUUGAGCGCUUUCAUUCGGUCUUUUAUGAUUUUCACUUUUUCUGUGGUGAUUUGAACCAUCUCAGGUCCAUUUAACUUCCUAUCCCCUACCUCUUCCCAACAUAAUGGUGUUCGACAUUUUCUUCCAUACAAGGCUUCAUACGGUGCCAUCCCCACAGUUGCCUGGUAGCUGUUAUUAUACGUAAACUCUACCAAUGGUAGAUGAUCCUCCCAAUUGCCCCAAAUUCUAAUAUGCAAGCCCUCAACAAAUCUUCCAGGGUUUGAAUUGUUCUUUCUGUCUGCCCAUCAGUUUGAGGGUGAAAUGCUGUACUUAAAUUCAAUCUUGUCCCCAAAGCCCGUUGUAUGCUUGGCCAUAAUCGAGAUGUGAAUCUAGGAUCCCGAUCUGAUACUAUAGACACUGGCACUCCAUGCAAUCUUAUUACCUCAUUUACAUAUAAUUGUGCCCGUUUAUCAAUCGAAUCUGUCUUUCUCAUAGCCAAGAAGAGAGCAGACUUGGUCAAUCUAUCCACUAUGACCCAAAUAGCAUUAUUGCCUUUUCCCUUUAGGCAGACCUGAUACAAAGUCCAUAGAAAUGUCUUCCCACUUCCAUUGAGGUAUCAAUAAUGGUGUAAAGGCCCUGCAGGCUUCUGGUGCUCCACCUUUACUUGCUGACAUACACCACUUAGCCACAUAUUCAGCUACAUCUUUCUUUAUUCGGCCACCAGUAACAUUCUUUUAAAUCUUGAUACAUUUUAGUACUCCCAGGAUGAGUUGCAAAUCUAGACUCAUGUGCUUCUUGCAACACUUCUCUUUUUAGUGCUUCAUCAUCAGGUAAAUACAUUCGUUUUCCAAAUGCUAUCAUUCCAUCCUCCAGGAUUUGGAAGGAAGUCCCAACUCCUGACUUCACACUGUCCUUUAUUUUGCCGACUUUGUCAUCAUUUUGUUGUGCUUCUAAUACUUUAUCCUGGAGUAUCGACCUUACUCGCAAUUGGGCAAUUAAAGAACCUCUAGGUCCAACUUCUACCUUAGUAUUUAACUUCCUUAACUCAAGCAAUUCUCUUUCAUCAUUGUCAUCUAAAACAACAUCUAUCAUCUUAUUUUUUCGGCUAAGGGCAUCUAUAACCACAUUUGCUUUCCCCGGAUGAUACUCUAUUACACAAUCAUAAUCCUUAAUUAACUCCACCCAACGUGUUUGCCACAUAUUCAAUUCCUUUUGCGUCAUUAGAUACCUCAAACUCUUAUGAUCGGUAAAUAUUUGAACUCGGGAUCCAUACAAAAAAUGCCUUCAUACUCUGAGAGCAAAUACAACAGCUGUCAAUUCUAAAUCAUGCACUCGAUAAUUAAUCUCAUGAGUUUUUAAUUGUCUUAAGGCAUAGGCAAUCACUUUACCGUGCUGCAUCAAAACACAACCCAAUCAUUUCCCUGAAGCAUCACUGUAAACUACAAAUCCUUCAGUCCCAGAUGGAAGUGUUAACACGGGUGCGGUUGUUAGCCUCUUUUUCAGCUCCUGGAAACUUUGUUCACACUCAUCGGUCCAUUCCUAUUUUGUCUCCUUCUGCGCCAGUCGAGUCAUCGGGAUAGCUAUAGUGGAGAACCCUUCAAUGAAUCUCCUGUAAUAUCCUGCUAAUCCAAGAAAACUACGAAUCUCAGUCACAUUCGUAGGCCUCUCCCAUUUCAGCACAGCUUCAACCUUUCUAGGAUCUACUAGUAUUCCUUGAGCUGAUAUAACAUGUCCUAGAAAAACUACCUCUUUCAACCAAAACUCACACUUACUUACUUUGGCAUACAAUUAAUGCUCCCUUAAGGUUGAUAACACUUGUCUCAAAUGGUGUUCAUGUUCCAAAUAUGAAUUGGAAUAGAUCAAAAUGUCAUCUAUGAAUACUACCACAAACAUAUCCAGAUAAGGUCGAAAAACCCAAUUCAUUAAGUCCAUAAACAUUGUCGGUGCAUUUGUUAACCCAAAUGGCAUUACUAGAAACUCAUAAUGUCCGUACUGAGUCCUAAAUGUAGUCUUUAUCACAUCUUGUUCUUUUAUUCUUAAUUGAUAAUACCCGGAUAUGAGAUCUAUCUUCGAAAACACCUUCACUCCUUUAAGUUGAUUAAACAAAUCAUCUAUUCACGGGAGUGGAUAUUUAUUUUUUACUGUUACUCUAUUUAAUUGUCUGUAAUCAAUACAGAGUCUAAGGGUCCCAUCUUUCUUCUUUACAAAUAAUACUGGAGCUCCCCAGGGGGAAUUACUUGGACGGAUAAAUCCUUUAUCCAGUAUUCUUGUAGCUAAAUUUUCAACUCGGCUAAUUCUGCAAGCACCAUUCUAUAUGGUGGUUGAGCAACAGGUGUGGUCCCGGGUAGUACAUCAAUGGAAACUUCCACUUUCCUAUCUGGUGGUAACCCCGGUAAUUCAUCUGGGAACACGUCUGUAAAUUCUCUCACUAUAGGGAUGUUUGUCAAUUCUCCAGUUUUUUCUUUCGAAUCUAACAUGUAAGCAAGGUAAGCUUCACAUCCCUUUUUAACCAUCUUCCUUGCAGUCAUAACCGAGAUGAUGCAAUUCGGUAUAACGUUCUUUUCCCCUCUAAAAAUCACUCUAUUUCCAUUCGGUCCCUGGAGAGUCACCGUUUUUGCAAAGCAGUCCAUUUGAGCCUUAUAUACACUUAACCAAUCCAUACCUAGUAUUACUUCAAAAUCCUGUAAUUCCAAGGGAAUUAAAUCUACUCCCAACUCGAGCCCAUCUAUACUAAUCCCAAUUCCCUUGCAGAUUACAUCAAUGACUACAACUUCACCUAAAAAAGUACUUAUCAUAAAUCCUCUAUCUACCCUGCUAGGUCUUUUUUCUAUUUUCCUCAUAAUUUUAUUAGCCAUAAAUGAAUAUGUAGCCCCAGGAUCAAUUAAUGCAUGUACAGGUAAUGAAUUUAACUGUAAAGUACCUGCUACUAUAUUUGGGCGACUUUGACCUCUUCCUGUGUCAUACGAAAUACUCUGCCCUGGGUCCUGUCACCCUACAUCCUAGGCCGACCUCUAUUUCCACUAGCCCCCGACUGUGCUGGUCUACCCGGUCUAUCCACAGUGAUAGACUGUUGCUAGCUUUGGGUUUAUUGUCUCUAUCCUUGUAUGAACUCGGCUCUCUGUGGACAAUCUCUACGGAUGUGUCCUUGUCCUCCAUAAUAGUAACAUCAUCUGCCUAAAUAAGAGCAAUCACGCCAUCUAUGCCCCUUAGCCCUGCAAAUAUAGCAUCGUCCUAGUGUCACUGAAUAAUCUCCUGGAUGUCUCUGCUCAUACCGAACACAUUGGGGAUAAGAUAAAGCAUUUAAUCCUGAUGUCCCUCCAGUGGAACCUUCCUGAAAAGAUGUUUGUCUACUAGUAGUCCCAGCACCAGUACUCUGAAUAGGCCUAGAUACUGCUCCUCCCUUCCUCUUAAACUGGUUGAACUGUCCCUUACCCUUUUUAGAAAAAGGAGGUCUGCUUGAGGAAAAAUCGAUAUCCUUCCUUUUACCCACCUAUGUCUGACUUUGCUGCCCUUCAACUAUACAUGCCUCAAGAGCUUGUGCUACCUCUAUAAGUUCUCUGGUUGUCCCAAAUCUAAGUGCUAUUAGGCCUUGUCUUAAAUCCUGGCGUAAUCCAUCCCGUAGUCUAUCAAUCAUGUAUUGUUUAGUGGGAACAAAUUGUGGAGCAAACAUAGAAAGAUCAUGAAAUCUUCUUUCAUACUCAAGUACCGUCAUACCCUCCUACCUCAAAGCUAGAAACUCCUACUCCUUCAUCUUCCGAUGAUAUGAUGAUUAAAACUGGUUCUCAAACUGAACUUUAAAUUCAGUCCAUGUCCAAGACCCCACAGGCCUCCUAGAUCGCAUUGUAUCCCACCAUGAUCGUGCUCUAUCUGAUAAUAAGUAGGUGGUACAAUUUACUCGUAAAUCCUCUGUCACCCAAAUCUGUUCCAUAAUGUCCUCCACCCGAAUCUGUUCAUCUACCUGCUGUCUCAGCAUCAAGCUCUCCUGAAAAUGAGUCACAUCCUAACUCCCGCAUACUCUUCACUACCCGAACUAGUGUAACCAUAUUAUCCACUAGUGUAGGGGCAACUUGCGGUAUCUAUGUUGUUGGUGCCACUGGAGGUGUCGGUACUGGUAAUUGAGGCAUCGUCUUUAUUACAGCUCUCACAAUCUGGGCUAUAAACACUGGAUCAGGAUAUGGUGCAGGGGCUAUCGUUGGCACUGCUGUUGUUGGAGGAGGCACCUCUUUUAGAUGAGGCGUUGCAGGUAUGUGAGAGACUGAGUCCUCCAAACAAUCCUCUCUCUCACUAUGUUCGAACCCGGGAUCUUGACCCAAUUCCCGUGUUGGAGAGCGAUCUGCCAUUCACCUCGUCUUAUGUGCACUACCCUAAACCAAUUUGAUACACAUCAGAUUCCAAUUCAAUUCCUGAACCCAAACUAGGGCUUUGAUACCAAAUGUAACAACCCUAAUAUUUGUAUUCAAAACAGAUAGUAAAGACAUGAUAAUUCAAUUAAGAUAAGGGAUUUUUUUUCUGUAAUCAAUAAAAAAUUCGGUAGAGUUUCCUCUAUAUUAUUAGGUACCAAGUUAUCGACUCUUCUUGCACAAUCCUCAAUUAACAAAUCUCUUACUUGUCCUAUCAUCCAGGACAUCAUCCUCUCAUUACAUCACAACUUCUCAAUAAUUAAAUUCACAUAUGUUUAAACAAUUCAAUAUCCCAUAUUUACAUGGAUGCAAUCUAAAGAAUUAUUCUAAAAACGGUAACUGAAGUACAUUACAUAAUUCAAAGAUUUAUAAAUAAGGGUCGUUAAUGAAAUUAUAAUCGAAAUAAGUUCAUAAUUAAAGAAGAAAUUCAUAAUAUAGAUUAUACUACACAAAGAGCUUUCGAUAAAUUGUAAACGCAUUAUAUUACAUAACAAAAGGAUAAAUUCAUUCAUUACAACAUGAUAUUCAACAAAAUAUAAGGAACUAAUCUACUGUUCAUUCUUGUAGGGGGAUGUACCUGAAAAUAGAUUUAAUACAAUAAUUCAAUUAGACAAAUAAAAAUAAAAAGACAUUUAUAAAAUUAUUUCUACUUUCUUUCUUUCUUCCUUUUUUUUUUUUGUAAAUUUAGUCAAAAGAUCAUUAAAUUAACUUGCUCAUCUAGUAUUAUUAUAUAUCAAUUAAAUUUCAGAAUAAUCUACCAGUCCAUUCAACAAGCACGGUUGUCAUCAGUCCAAAAACUAAUUCAACAUUUCACCCAUUCAUCAAGGUAUAAAUCCCAUUAACUAAGUUAACUCAACAAUAACUUUUAAGAUUUUGCGUAAAAUUUCCCGAAUCCUGAUACCUGUUUAUACCAAAUCUUGCCCGGGUUAUAUUGAAUUUCACUAAGUUACUCGUUGAUACUUUUAAUUUCAUGAAAUUCACUUCUAAAAAAAAUCUCAUUAACAUUUUCGUGUAUAUUUAUUUAUUUAUAUAUAUUAACACUUGAACAAAACAUUUCAAUUCAAAUUCUCAAAUAUAUCAUCAUUCUUAUAAUUUAAUUUAUCCAUUUUCCUCUUUUUUUUUAUAAUCCUGACUUUUCUUAGGCCGUGUUUGAUUGCAGGAAAGUGAAUUCCUGGAAUUUACUUUCCUGCUUUUUCUAUGUUUGGUGACAACAAGGAAAAAUAGUCAAAGGAAAAUGAAUUCCAGUCAAUGGAAAAAUUAUAACGUUGCCAAAGGAAAGUGUUUUUCUUAUGUUAAAGAAAAGAAAACACUUUCCUUUUUUUUUUCCUUUUUUUUGCCUCCGGAGUCACAGCUAACACUGCCCUGGAAGAAGACGAUGAUGAAGGUGCAGUGGCUGACCAAAGUUUGCUCUCUCCUCUGUAUAAUCUCCCUCCCUCUAUUCGUUGCUUUUUUUUCUUUAAUCUUCUCUGUUUCCUUGAAAAUAAACAAAGGAACGAAAGUCAAUUUAUUUUCUCCUCUCCCUCCCCCCCCCGUUUCACUGGUUUUUUUGUGUUUGGGUUUAGCCUCUCCCUCUCUUUCGGUUCUUCUCUCCUCUCCUUCGUUGCUUUUUUUCUUUACCUCCUCUAUUUCCUUGAGAAGAAACAGAGGAACGAAAAGCCCGUUUAUUUUCUCCUCCCCCACCCUUUCGUUUCUAUGAUCCUCUUCUAUGGCCUUUCAUUCUCUGGCUUUUAUAGCCAGAGAACAAUGACGUUUCAUCCAUUGAUUGUAGGUGUAAUGGUGGCGGCGGGCGGCUGAACGGUUGAGGAAGAUGAACACUGUCUAGAAACGACACCGUUUUUGGUGUUUAAUGGUUAUUUCUAAUUUGGCCCUUGAAGUUUUAACAGUUUUGUAAUUAAGCUCCUGGUUUAAACUGUAAUUGGCCCCCUGUAUUUGCGCAAAAAUUUCAAUGUAGUCCUUGGAUUUUAAUUGUGCAAUUUUGACCCCAAACUUUAAUAGUUCUUCAAUUAAGUCCCUGCUUUAAUUAAUUUAAUUAAAUCCAAGUCCAAUUAAGUCUCAAAAAUUAUCAAUUCUCCAAUUAAACCCUUAAUUGGAUUAAUUAAAUUAAUUCCAAGCUUAAUUAAGUCUCAAAACUUAUCUAUUCUCCAAUUAAACCCUUAAUUGGAUAAAUUAAAUUAAUUCCAAGCUCAAUUAAGUCUCAAAACUUAUCAAUUCUCCAAUUAAACCCUUAAUUGGAUUAAUUAAAUUAAUUUCAAGCUCAAUUAAGUCUCAAAACUUAUCAAUUCUCAAAUUAAACCCUUAAUUGGAUUAAUUAAAUUAAUUUCAAGCUUAAUUAGAUUAAUUCCAAAGUUUAAUUAAACCCCAAAACUUCCAAUCAUUUUGCCAUUAACCCAAAUUUUAAUUCAUUCUUCAUUUAUUUCAUUUUACUUGUUUUUUCAUCAUCAUUUUUUUUAUUGUAAGUGAUUAAAUAUUUUAUAUGAAAUAUUUUAUAUAUAUUAGAUAAAUUUGAAAAAAAAAUUAAUUCAUUAAUAAAUUAUUUUCCAGUUCAUUUUCUAUAAUACAACCAAACACUAGAAAGUGUUUUCCAAUUCAUUUCCCAUAACCCUACCAAACAUCGGAAAAUACUUUUCCGGAAUUCACUUUCCCCGGAAUUCAUUUUCCAAAAGGAAUUCACUUUCCUGCAAACAAACGGAGCCUUAAUAUCAAUAAUAUUAUCCGGGGUUUUACAUUUUUGUUCUUAACCUUAAAGAUAUUUGUCUUUUUUACUAUGUUAGCUCACUAAUUACAAGCAAAAGACAUAUAUAUUUAAUUUUGAUUUCAUAGUUAGUUGUGCAUUCAGAGGUUUUUAAUCAUAAAAGCUUAUUUUUUAAAUUAUUUUUGGAUUAUUGUUGAGGCUACCCUUAAAAACUCUACCAACAUUUAACUAAAAAAACAUAAAACAUUUCUUUUACUUUGUAAAAAAGCUUUUAAGGAUUAGAAAGGUGACUGUGUUAGGUGUUCAGAAUAACAUGUAAUAACAAUAUAUGAAUUUUGAGAUACUAUUAUAAGAUUUCCCUAUGGUGUGUAUAUGUCAAGGUUUGUUAUGUCAUCAUUCAUCCUUUUCAAUUUCUUAGCUUUGUCUUGCUUUUGAGGACUACUACAACCUUCGAAGUUCCAUUCAAUCGCAGAUAUAAGAAAAUUAAACCAAUAAAGAAACAUAUUGUAUAUCCCAUAGUUUUAUAAUAUGGGAUUUUUUGUACUAUCAUUGAUUGUAUUGGUUUACAAACAUGUACUACUUUAGUUUUGUAUAUUACAUGUUAUUAUAGCUAUCUACAAGUGCAUAAAUUGUUUCUUUAAAACUGAGUUGAUUUAUCAUAUCAACUUUCUUAGAUGUUUUUUCAACAUACUUUACUCAUUUAUUCAUUUUAUAUAUAUAUAUAUGGUUGAUCGUUAUUUGUCACUUUUUUUUAUCAACAGGGUCACUUUGUUGAAAAGAGCCUUGUAUAUUAACCAUGGAUUUGGACCGCUAGCAAUCAUGAACUGAUUUUGCUCCAGAUUGUUAAACAAUUCAAAUCAAAUAAAGAAAAAAUACAAACAUAAAAAAGGAGAAGGCUAGGGUUUAAUAGAUUAUUUUAUUCUGAAAUUUAUCAUUUAACCUAAACACAAAAAUAUUAUAUAUAGAUCAAAUUAAAAAUAUUAUUCUACUCUUAAUAAAUAAAACAAAAUAAAUAUAUUUCUUAACAUCUCCAUUUUAACUCAUGAUGUGACAGUUACAAGCACAAGAGUUUGCCAACUAGAAAACAAAAACAGGAAAUAAAAUGUGACUUGGUAAAGAAAUUUGCAAUCCGCAAAGAAAAAGAAACAAAAGGCAAAGUAAUGGUGUUAUGCUUGAGAUGAUGAUGAGUAAGAUGACAAUCGAUCCCAAUAUGCUUAGUUCGUUCAUGAAAAAUUGAGUUAUGAGCAAUUUGAACUCUAGUUGUCACAAUACAUUGGAGUAUGAUGAGAAAUAAAGACUUUCAUUCUCGCAAGUAACCAAUGUAAUUAAAUAAUCUUUUUAGUAGUAGAUGUCAUAACACGAUAUUCUACUUCAAUUGAAGAUUAAGAAAUAAUAGAUCAUUUCUUGCUCUUCCAAGAAAUAAAAGAAUCACUUAAAAAGAUACAAAAUCCAGUAACAGAUUUAUGAUCUGUGGGGUCACUGACAUGAUCAACAUCAAAGUAUGCACGUAGCUUCAAGAAAGAGGUGGAUGGAAGUAAAAGACUCUGAAAGACUAUACCCUGAAAAUAUCAUAAAAUACAAAGAAUAAUUGCUCAAUGAACGAUAGUAAAAGAAGCAACAAACUAACUAACAACAUAAACAUUAUAUCCAAUAUCUGAAUGAGUAAUAGUGAUAUAUAUCAAUACCCAGUUAGCAACCUUGGUUUCAAGUUUUAAUUGUAACAAAGAUGACAUUAAAUUCCUCUUCUUUUUUUUUUCAGAAUGAUUGUACUCCUUUUAAGCCAUAUAUGUAUCUAUACUAUCUACCAUGCAAGGCACAUCUCCACUUUAGUGUUCCAUCAAGCACUAUAUACCUAUAUUAUUGUCCUUUCUUUUUACUAAGCAUAUGUUAUAAGAAUCUCCUAAAUGGCAUCGCAUUGUUAAUCUAAUAAGUUUUAGUCUUCCAUUUACACUUAAAAAAAAUUAGGUUGUUUGUUGUGCAAGGUUAAAAGAAAUUUUUUUACAACCCAUCACCAUCAUUUAUAUUUGUGCUUUGAAAAAAAAUUAUCUUUUUUCUUUUUGUCUACAUAGUGCAUGAUGUACUUCACUCAUAUCCGCUAAAUGAUUUUUCUAGCUUGAGAAGAUUAUUAGCUUCAAGUCCUAGUUCAAGAAGUUACCUUUUAAACUUUUUCACAUUCACACACAAAACUUAUAUUGUUUUUUUUUUUUUAUUACAGGAUGAAUGGUUUAAAUCCAGUAGAUGUGUUCAUUCAAUAGAUGAGUCAAUGGCAUUUCUAUCCUUAUUUUUGCAUAGAAAAUUUGGAAACCUUAUCUCUAUUUGCAUAUAUUUUUGUUUAAAACUUUUGUAUGGGACUUUAUGACUUUGUUUUAUUUGGUAUAAUUAGCACCAAACGAUCCAACUUUUGCUAUUUUGCUUUGUAUUUUCCUUCACCCUUGCAAAAUACACUGUGAAAUCUUACUUCGUCAAGGCAUUAAAAGGUGGCCUGUAGAGUAACACAUAGAAUCUAUCUAGUUUUUGCUAGAUCUGCUAAUUUGUGGGCCAUAGCAUUUCCAUCUCUCUUAAAAAAUUUCCCACUAAAAUCAUUGAAACAAGAAGUCAAGUGAACUAUAUCAGCUACAACAACCACCAAGGAUGAGCAUGAACCAUCUUAAAAGGAGUUGUUUAGUUAGUUUACCAAAUACAAGGAGUCUGAUUCCAGUAUAAAAUUAAACCAGCUCAUAUCCCUUAUUAAUUGAAUAUUAUAGAGACCAACACAUGCUUUUACUAAACAAAGAAUGAGGAUGAAUAUUCUUAUAAGCACUUGAUAGAACUUGCCCACAUGUUAGGUUUUAAAUACUCUGCUGCAAGCGGAGUAGCGGAAUAUUGGAAGUUAGCAAAAAUUGCUUUUAUUGUGUUAAAAGAAAUACUAGUUAAUCAUCAUGCUUUGAAAAGUUAUGCUAGGUCUUUUAGUUUUAGAAGGUUAUGUUAUUACAAAUGCAAUAGUCAAUUCCUCUUCUAUGUUAAAUUCAUAUUGACAAAUUAAAGCAUUGGUAGCCAAGACAUAUAUAGAAGAGAAUAUUUUUUAAGUUAGCAAUUAAAAUUAACAACUAACAUUAACAUUAAUUGACGAACAUACUAAAAAUCUAGGGUGCACAUUUGUUAAUCUUAGGCCUUGGACUUUUUAAAUUGCAAUUUCAUCCUCCUAAUAUGAUCAUGAUUUUAUAGGUUGAGGUGUCUUUUGAUUUAUAUUUUCUCUUACACAUAAAAUGUUUAGGGAUAUUUUGGUAAUGAAUUAAAGACCAAUUCUAUAAAAAUAAAAAUUUAUUGGUACUUAAAAAGAGAAAUUCAAAAAAUAAAGACCAAAAGUAACAAACAAAACAAAACAGACCCCUGUAUUGAUAUUGGUAUGAAAAAUCUCAAUUUGCUUCUUUACAUUUUAGUUUAUAUAUUGUUUGGGCUUUAAAAUUUCAAUAUUUUAUAUUUUGAUCUAAAACUUUAUUUUUCUUACGUUUAAGUACUUGAAAGAUGAGAGAGGAAAGAGAAAGUGAGAAUAUUAUAAGUUAUUGAUAUUCUAGCUAACAAAAAAGGUAAUCUCGGGUCAAUGUAUUUGAAUUGUUUAUGGAAGUUUGAUGGAGGUGGCUUUUCCCUCUCACGAUGUCAAAAAGAAUAAUUACGACAAAUAUAUUAAAAGAACUAUGGUGUUCAUAUAUUUUUUUCUGUUUUAAUCUUCAAACUUUUUUAUUUGUAAUUUCAUCCUUCUAAGAUAUAUUAUCAUGAUUUUAUGGGUUGGGAUGUCUUUUAAUUUUAUUUUCUUAAAUACAUAAAGUGUUUUGGGAUAUUUUGAUGAUGAAUUGAAAAUCAAUUGCAAAAUAAAAAUUUAUCGGUAGUUAAGAAGAGAAAUUGGAAGAAUAAGGACUAAAAACACAAACAAAACAGCCUGCAUUUUGAUAUUGGCUUAGAAAAUUUUAAUUUUCUCCCUGCUCUUUCUAGUUUAUCUAUUGUUUAGUCCAUGAAAUUUUACAUUUCACUUUGUGAUCCAAAUUUAUUUUUUUUACAUUUUAGUCCCUAAAAGUUGAGAGAUAAGAGAAAAGGUAGUAUCAUUUAGGAAAGAUAAAGUUAUCGAUUGUCGAUAUACCAGCCAUUAAAAAGGAUGAUCUUGAUAUCAGUGGGUUGGGAUUUUUAUGAGAGAAAAAAGCACAUGGGUCUAGGUUUCUCAAUCCAGGGGGGUUGUGCUCUUGGACAGGUGGUAAGUUGUGUAGGACUAGCUUGUCGGACCCAAUAGUGCAUAACCUCUUUUUUUUUUUUUUUUUUAGAUUUUGAUUAUUUUUUUAAAAAAAAAUGUUAAUUAAUACCCUCUUUUUAAGUAUUUUUAAUUUUUAUUAAUUUAAAGUAAUACUCUCUUGCUUUUUUUUUAAUUGUUCAAUUCACUAUUUUAAAUCUCAGGGGUUUUUAUAAUUACUUUAUAUUUUUAUAAUGUUUCAAUGUAAUUUAUAUUUGAUAUAAAUAAAUUGUAUUUACAUUAUGUAUUUAUAAAAAAAAAAAUAAAUAUUAUUUUGUAUCUAUAAGAACAAAAGUCAUUUGUUUCUUUGUAAGAAAGAAUAUCCUCUAAGAUAAAAUAAAAUAAAAUAAAAAUUGGGGUUAAAUAUUUGCAUUAGUAGCUCUCUUGAUAGCUUAGGUUUAAAUGAUUAAAGCAAAUCAAAAACCCUGCGGCCUAGGUACAAGCACUCACAAUCCUGAAGCAAGCAGCAUUACACAUUGAACUUGUAAGUAGAGUCAUUACAAAGGCUGUCUGACAUGAUUUAGAGCUAGCAAAGGCAAGUUCCUUCCUUCCCAAUGAUAAACUAGCCACGUUCUCCAGGACCAUAAUACACAUCCAUAUAGGAGCAUUUUGUUCUACACCAGUUGAGGAUUUAUUGAAGUUUCAAGACCAUGGCACAAGGGAGCUUCUAUCUCACUCACCCAGUUUCUGGAGCUCAUCUUUAAAUUUGGACUUCAGCCGCUCCCUCUUUAUCUUGAGGGAGGCAGUAACCAAGCCAGACUCGGGUGUCCAUGGAUCUGGCAGCAACUUGAUCUUAGCUGGAGUUUCAAACUUGUCCAACCUCGAAGCUUUUGCUACCUGCAGAGAUAGAAUGCUAUCAGAUCUACAGCAAGGAUUCUGUUUCUUCCACUAAAUAUAUUAACAACAGCAAAUGUGCUUGCCUGACAUCAACAAACCAUAAACCUUUCCUUCCAAAUAUGCAGACAAAUGCAAACAGAUUCAAAAGGUCACAUAAUGAAACAAUGUAUAAGAAUUUCCAUCCAAGAAUUUACAUCAGGUACAUCUUGAUAGAUGAGGCAAGUACAUCUCGCCAGAAGACCGGGAGACAUAAAUGCACGUGAAAUUCAAAGCAUAGUCACAAAAUCAGAAGCUAUGGAAAUAUUCAUUCAUGUUUCAUCUUGGAAAUAUGACCGAGCUCAACAACACUAAGAGAGUUCACACGUUUGUGUUCAGCAGUUUUAACUAAUCAAAAGCAUUUCAAAUAGCUUUCCCGUAGACAAGCAAAGAUAAUUCAAAUCAUCAUCACCAAAUCAGAAGAUAUGUCAAUAUUCAUUCAUGUUUCAGCUUGGAAAAUGAACGAAUUCAGCAAUAAUAAGAGCUCCCGUGUAUGAAAGUUUUAACUAAUCAUAAGAUUUAAAGUAGCUCUCCAGUAAGCAGCAAGCAAAAUAAACCAACCUUGGAAACUGAUUGUUCAACCUCACUGACAGCAUCGGCUUCGUUACACAGUUCAGAAAAGUUUUGGUGCUGGAUGCCAGCUUCCUGGGCCCACUUCUCAAGCAUGUGACGCGAUGGAACAAUUAGGGCAACACAAUAGUUGUGGAAGGGAUUUGCAUGUACCAUGAUAUUAUCAACAUAGUUACUCGAUGUUAAUGCUGCCUCCACCUGCAAUCAGGGCACAAAUCAACCUUAUUGGCACAUCAAUGCAUAUGUAUGUACCCUAGAAAUACUAUCACAAAUUUUCAGGUUAAGAUUUAUAAACACCUUUCCAAGAGAGAUAUAUUCUCCAUGUUGAAGUUUGACGAUAUCCUUCUUCCUAUCAAUAAUUUCAAGGCAUCCAUCAGGGUGAAACUGCCCAAUGUCGCCAGUAUAGAACCAACACAUGCCCCUUUCAUCAACCUAUAGCAGGUCAAGAAAACCAGUUUUCCAUGUCUGAGCACACAGCAGAGUAAAAGCAAAAGGAAAAUGCACGUUCUCACCCAUUCAGAAAACAUAUGUGUGCGCUCAUGCAAGUACACUAAAGAAUACCUUGUAGACCUCUUUAGUCUUUUCUUGGUAGUUGAAGUAACCGGCAGUCACGCUGAAUCCCCCAACUACAACCUCACCCCGGGGCAUUGGCUUGUCGGCCACUGUAUACCCACCUUCUUCCCAAGAAACAAGCUACAAUACCAAAACAAAGCAGUUCUUCAAACUAAUAUUCAAAAAUCUUACAAAGUGAGCAUCCCUGCCUCUGCAACUAUGUUUUUUUUCACAAAAUGUGAGGUUCAGUUUGACCAUAACCUUGAAAAAGUAAUUAAUGUCAUGAAUAACAGCUUUCGGUUGAUUGGUUAAUGGAAAUUCUUUUUGGAGUAUAGGCUAGUGCAAGUUAAGAUGCAGCAUCCUAAAUAGAAUUUUCAGAAUUCUCUCUGAAAACCAAGUCUGGUUCAGAUCGUGAAACUAAAUAAUUUUUUCCUUUUGUAGAAAGAUGCCAUACCUUAACAUAGCAACAUGGAAGAGGAGGUCCAACACGGCCCACGGAUGGGUCAUCCCACUCAGUGUAAGCAGCUCCAGCAUAUGUUUCUGUCAACCCAUAUGCUUGACCAAUUAUAGCCCUGAAGACAAUAAUUGUGCACUGAAUAUCAACCUAAAUUGAUAACACUGAGAGUGGAAAUAUAGUAUGUUAUAAAUACCAUUUUUCAUAAGUAAACCAUUUUAAGCACUGAAGGACUGAUCUAGCAUGGUAGAGAGCUUAUUAUCCCAAACUCGUAUUUCAUGGUUUUAAAAUCUAAUAACACCACAUGUUUUAUGUUCCCAAUUACUGGUAAUAAGUAUCUAGGUUUUUUAUCUCCCCUAUCAGACCAUACAAUAGCAGAUCCAAGAGCACAACAAAGUUACUUCCUGGUGUCCAGGAUACAAGAUGGUUUCUGCCGAACAUUAAUUAGGUUCUGAUGAAUAGCACAGCCAACUAUAAUAUAUUGUCUCCUAAAGAUGACACUGGAAAAGGGAAUGAAAGGAGUUGCGAAGGAAAAAAUCAGAAUGAAUAUAGAAGUUUCUUCCUUUAAUUAUCUUGGUAUUUGCAAAUGAGAAUGUCAUUACCCCAUGCAGAUGUUGGUGAACCGUUGUGAAUCCCCAGAUAAAGGGGCUCCGCCACAUAGGAUGAAUUUCAUACGAACUCCAAGUAUAGCACGUAUUUGUUUGAAGGCAAUGACAUCCCAUAGCAUUCUCUCCAGUGCCGAAGCACCAAACCAGCUUCCUUCUAUGGCUGCCAUUCGGCGCUUAAAUCCAAUGUUGAAAAGCUUCUUUGCUAACCCUCCCUUCUCCUCAACCUGAUGUGAAUCAAAAAGGCAUUAAAGAAAUUAUUUAACUAACGAUGAGGGCAUUCUCCACUUCCACAAAUGCAUUAAUAACCAGUACUGUAGAAGUGCAGAUAUUAAUGUUGAUUCAAUUCACACCUUUUUUAGAACUCCAUCCCGGACACGAUCUAGUAUGGCUGGAACAGCUAUCAUGAGAGUAGGAUUUAAUAUAGAUGCAUCACCCUUGGUUCCUUUCUUAAUUUUGUUAGAAGUGUCUGUCAAAGUCAAUGCCGAACCAUAGCCAAUAGCACAACCUACAGACAACAUAACAGACUGGACAACCACAAAAUUUAGUAUUUAUAUGUUAUAUGUUACAAGUAGCACAGGAAAGAACUAUAUGUAAUCAAGUACCUCAGCUGCCAGUUCAAAAACAUGGGCUAGGGGCAAAUAAGCCAAAUAUACAUCAUUGCUACUCAGUUUUGGAAUCACCGUCAUAACAGCUGCAGCAGUGGCUACAAUGUUGCCAUGAGUAAUCAUGACUCCCUAGGUUGUAACCAGGAUGCAGGGUCAGAUCAAAAGAAAGCAUGCAAUUGCAGUGAUGAAGUAAUAAUGAAGUUGGAAUUCAGUUCUAGUAGGAAAAAAGUAAAGGAAAAUAAAAAUGCACUGCUCUUUACUACAUUCCUACUUGUCUCAAUAUACAAAAUUAAGCCUUUCCAUUCUAACAAACAACUUGCACUUGAAGUUUCAUUAUUAUCUGUGUCUUGAAAAAUAAAAUACUGGACUCAAGCCUAUUUUCUGUAUGGACAUAUGCAACCAGAGAGUGAUCUUCUGAUUCAUCUUCUUUACAGUAAGGUCUAUUGGCAAGAUUUACCAUGCAUUGAGUUUCAAUCAGUGAUGCAAAAUGAGAGAAACUACAGCACCGGACAAACCUUUGGCUGGCCUGUGCUGCCACUUGUGUACAUAACAACAGCAAUUCCAUUCUUUGUAGGUAAGCUUGGAGGAACAGGACUGUUCUUCCCCAGUUCCUCAACUUCAGAAAAAGAUGAAACCUUCCAAUAGCUUGUGCUUGCAGAUAAGCCCAAAUCAUUUGUAGUUUCUCCAUCUUCAAAGUAAAUGACAUUCUUAAUAGUUGUUAUUUUUGAGCUUAUUGCAGCUAGCGUUUUCAACUGCUUGGGAUCACAGAUCAGGGUAGAUACUUGAGUCUGUCCACAUUUUCAAAAUUCAAGUGAGAGCCAUAAGAAUCUAGACUUCCAUAGAGAAAAAAGUAAAUGAUUUAAAUGCCACAAAUUAGUUACAUUAUAGAUAAUCUAAUCAGGUAAAGCAAGUGCACGAAGAGAAUCCCAUACCUCAUUGAGGGAAUGGAUCAAAGCAUCCACACCUAGAGAAGCAUAAAUAGUGACAACAGUAAUGUUCUGCCGAAAGCAUCCCUGUACUCCAACAAAAACAACAUUCAGUAUUGGCUGUACAUCCAUCAUUUAUCAGGGAUAAAAAGAAAAGGAAACAUAUAAGCACUGCAAGCACGAGGAUACCUGAAAGGCAAUCAACCACUCAGCCCGAGUAUCAGCAAAAAUUGCAGCACGAGUAUCCUCUUUAUGCCCUAACAUAAUAAGCCCGGAUGCAAAGUUACAAACACGAUCAAAAACCUGUCCAUAGGUCUGCCAUUCAUAAUCACCCAGGUGCAGCUUCUCAAACUUCCUACCAUCACUAGCAGUAACAAAUUCCUUGCUAAUUAGCUUCCUUGUUCCAAGAAAUCGUUCUGGCGAAUGCUUUCUACAAGACUGCUCAAAUAGAGCUGCCAUGGUUGUUGCCCCUUUCCAAGGGAAUUCAACUAGCUCAGCAUGCCGGGCAUUGCGAACUGCAUAACCUGCCUCACCGCCUACCUCUACCGGGACUCCUCUUUGUUUCACCUUUUUCUUUCCCAUGAAGAUAGUAGAAAGUAAUAUAGGUAUGAGGAUAGAAGCAGCAGCAGCCACAAUGCCAUAUGUUCCAUAGCCUUUCCCAACUGACGAGUAAUCAUUAGAGUCCAAUUUAUCUAGAAAAGGUGAGCUCAGAAACCU